This is a non-coding RNA of Mustela putorius furo (domestic ferret), 142 nucleotides long. The record is from Rfam. NCBI's taxonomy places the organism in Eukaryota, Metazoa, Chordata, Mammalia, Carnivora, Mustelidae.
AGCUUUGCGCCAUGGCAGUAUCGUAGCCAAUGAGGUUUAUUCAAGGCAUAAUUAUUGCUAAUUUAAAAAAAUCAAGUAAUUCUUCUGUUGUAUCUCAGUACUUUAAUGUACAGCACAAAAGCCACAAGAAGUUUAACAGAAU